AUUAUAAAAGCGCCUGCUAGUGCCGCAGAACUAUGUUCCUGGUACUCCUGCGUUUGUGUACUAUCAUCAAGUGAAUUAAGUUUCGCUCCUGACUGGAAUUGCUGAAACCGAGGAAAAUGGACGGCAAACAAUUCAUUUCAACUAUCACUGUUAUUGCUGCGCUUUUGUGCGAAGCCUUUGCAAGGCAAUCCUCUGAAAUGGAGUCAGCUGGCAGAGAUACCCUCCUUAAGUAAGACCGCGUGCCAGAUCAGCUCCGAUUGCCCAAAUUCACCAUGUGGUCAGGCAAGUCCACGAGAGCUUCACUUCACGUGCAAAUCUUUACGCCAAAGAAUAAAUCCACAGAUCGGUACUAUCCAAUUUGCACGUUGCAGUA
Rhipicephalus microplus (southern cattle tick) is the source of this 373-nucleotide long non-coding RNA. The record is from RefSeq and is a predicted model, not a curated record. Lineage: Eukaryota; Metazoa; Arthropoda; Arachnida; Ixodida; Ixodidae.